This 492-nucleotide ribosomal RNA is filed under the name uncultured bacterium. RNAcentral's name for it is "partial 16S ribosomal RNA". It matches the Rfam family "Bacterial small subunit ribosomal RNA", at positions 29 to 507 of the family's 1533-position model. The record is from RNAcentral.
AGUGAACGCUGGCGGUAGGCCUAACACAUGCAAGUCGAACGGCAGCACAGUAAGAGCUCGCUCUUACGGGUGGCGAGUGGCGGACGGGUGAGGCAUACAUCGGAAUCUACUUUUUCGUGGGGGAUAACGUAGGGAAACUUACGCUAAUACCGCAUACGACCUACGGGUGAAAGCAGGGGAUCUUCGGACCUUGCGCGUUUGAAUGAGCCGAUGUCGGAUUAGCUAGUUGGCGGGGUAAAGGCCCACCAAGGCGACGAACCGUAGCUGGUCUGAGAGGAUGAUCAGCCACACUGGAACUGAGACACGGUCCAGACUCCUACGGGAGGCAGCAGUGGGGAAUAUUGGACAAUGGGCGCAAGCCUGAUCCAGCCAUACCGCGUGGGUGAAGAAGGCCUUCGGGUUGUAAAGCCCUUUUGUUGGGAAAGAAAAGCAGCAGGUUAAUACCCCGCUGUUCUGACGGUACCCAAAGAAUAAGCACCGGCUAACUUCGUG